This 553-nucleotide ribosomal RNA is filed under the name Bifidobacterium longum. Its description in RNAcentral is "bacterial SSU rRNA". It matches the Rfam family "Bacterial small subunit ribosomal RNA", at positions 146 to 711 of the family's 1533-position model. The record is from RNAcentral. Lineage: Bacteria; Bacillati; Actinomycetota; Actinomycetes; Bifidobacteriales; Bifidobacteriaceae.
UCUCCUGGAAAACGGGUGGUAAUGCCGGAUGCUCCAGUUGAUCGCAUGGUCUUCUGGGAAAGCUUUCGCGGUAUGGGAUGGGGUCGCGUCCUAUCAGCUUGACGGCGGGGUAACGGCCCACCGUGGCUUCGACGGGUAGCCGGCCUGAGAGGGCGACCGGCCACAUUGGGACUGAGAUACGGCCCAGACUCCUACGGGAGGCAGCAGUGGGGAAUAUUGCACAAUGGGCGCAAGCCUGAUGCAGCGACGCCGCGUGAGGGAUGGAGGCCUUCGGGUUGUAAACCUCUUUUAUCGGGGAGCAAGCGAGAGUGAGUUUACCCGUUGAAUAAGCACCGGCUAACUACGUGCCAGCAGCCGCGGUAAUACGUAGGGUGCAAGCGUUAUCCGGAAUUAUUGGGCGUAAAGGGCUCGUAGGCGGUUCGUCGCGUCCGGUGUGAAAGUCCAUCGCUUAACGGUGGAUCCGCGCCGGGUACGGGCGGGCUUGAGUGCGGUAGGGGAGACUGGAAUUCCCGGUGUAACGGUGGAAUGUGUAGAUAUCGAAAAAAAAACACCA